RNAcentral lists this ribosomal RNA (492 nucleotides) under uncultured bacterium. Its description in RNAcentral is "partial 16S ribosomal RNA". It matches the Rfam family "Bacterial small subunit ribosomal RNA", at positions 29 to 507 of the family's 1533-position model. The record is from RNAcentral.
AGUGAACGCUGGCGGUAGGCCUAACACAUGCAAGUCGAACGGCAGCACAGUAAGAGCUUGCUCUUACGGGUGGCGAGUGGCGGACGGGUGAGGAAUACAUCGGAAUCUACUUUUUCGUGGGGGAUAACGUAGGGAAACUUACGCUAAUACCGCAUACGACCUACGGGUGAAAGCAGGGGAUCUUCGGACCAUGCGCGAUUGAAUGAGCCGAUGUCGGAUUAGCUAGUUGGCGGGGUAAAGGCCCACCAAGGCGACGAUCCGUAGCUGGUCAGAGAGGAUGAUCAGCCACACUGGAACUGAGACACGGUCCAGACUCCUACGGGAGGCAGCAGUGGGGAAUAUUGGACAAUGGGCACAAGCCUGAUCCAGCCAUACCGCGUGGGUGAAGAAGGCCUUCGGGUUGUAAAGCCCUUUUGUUGGGAAAGAAAAGCAGCAGGUUAAUACCCCGCUGUUCUGACGGUACCCAAAGAAUAAGCACCGGCUAACUUCGUG